Molecule: long non-coding RNA, 725 nt
Organism: Nicotiana attenuata
Lineage: Eukaryota; Viridiplantae; Streptophyta; Magnoliopsida; Solanales; Solanaceae
Exons: 2
Source: RefSeq, a predicted model, not a curated record
GGAAGGUUACGUUUCUCCUCUUCUUAGCAAGAGGCUGUAAGCCUUGAAUUAAUGAGUUGCCAACAAAUAUUUUCUCAUAUUAAUGACACUUCAUUAAUGUCUCUAAGAAAGACAAGACGAUCAAUUCAUCUGCACAUAUGUGCUUUUUCAGCCUAUGAAGUCAAUGAAAUUUUCGCUCACUCAUAACGUAUAUGUCUAAAUUCAAUUAAUUGCUGUCUCUAUUUAUCCCCUACAACCUUCUCUACGGAAAAGGUCAGUUUAAGCCAAACAUUGUCGUGCUAUCAAAAUAAAGGAAAAUAUAAAUACAAGGAUGGCUUGUAACCGGAUGAGGGCAUUGGAUCAUAUUUGUGUGUUUUUCUGCAUAUUAGCUGUGACAUUAGUAAAUUGUAAAACAUAUCCUCCAUCAAUAGAAUAUGGUUGUUUUUUGUUAUGUAUUGACUAUUUACAAGUGGAGAGAGGCUUAGUUCAUAUUCCUCAGGCGGAGUUAGAAAACAGAUGUAGAGAUGGAAUACCCGAAUUUGAUUGUGAGAUCAAGAGGUCGUAUGACAACCAUGAGAUUGAUGAUUGUCAUGAUCCUAAGCGAUUCCCAAGCGUUCACUCCCUAGUAAGAUAACUUCGCAUUUGGAAUUGUUUACGGGUAUAACUUUAUCCUUGUCAUUCAUCCUAUAAUAAUUUUACUCAUGAUACAUAUAAAUGGAAUACAAUGAAUGCUUUAUUAAACAUUG